UUUCAUAUCUAAUCACAUCAAAACGGAGAUCUCAAAAGAAGAUAGGAUCUCAAUCCAUCCAGGCCAUACUCAAGGCCCAUCUCGGGAUUAUCUUCUUCUUCCAAAAUCCUUCUACUCAGGUUUCACCUCCGAGUUCUCCUUCUCAGAUUCCUCCUCAGCUCCUCAACGGGGUCCUGAAAUGGUUUUCCCCAAACUGGGAUGAGACUACGUCUCAGCGAGUUCUACCCCACUAAGCCCGAUUAGUAAACUAUUAUACUACAGGCUGCCUAAACACGCACAGGGCAGAGGACUUACCUUGGCCUCUGAUCCCAUCUGCAAGUCAGUACAAUUCAUAAUAGGCACCCAAGCAAUCAUAUCACCGAUCGACGCAUCGAUCAAAUCGACCUAGUCGAUUAUAUUCCAACAAGACCACUCACGGUCCUUUCUAUUCAGGCAAUCAAUUCACAACAUCAAAUCAAAGCAUCGACCUAGUCGAUUACAUGCCAGACAAAUCAAUCCCCACUGUGGGAUAUUUAAAAGCUAGGCCACGUGCAUUCUCCAGGACGACCUUCCAAGUCUCCGAGUUCACGUGCCUCGAACCUUGGGCCCACGUGCAUUCUCUCAGGCGACCUUUUCGCCAAAGUGAUGCAUCAAGUCACCGAGACCACGUGCCCUUUUAGAUGCCCGGGCCCACGUGCAUUCUCUUAGGUGCAUCUCACCAAAGCGAUGCAUCAAUUCGCCGAGACCACGUGCCCUUUUAGAUGCCAUUCCGGAAUGCUGGACCCACGUGCAUUCUCUAAGGUGCAUCUCACCAAAGCGAUGCAUCAAUUCGCCGAGACCACGUGUCCUUUUAGAUGCCAAAUCCUGUCACCGAGCCACGUGCAUUCUCCAGGACGACAUACCGAGUCUCCGAGCCACGUGCAUUCUCUCAGGCGACCUUUUCGCCAAGGUGACAUAUUCAACCACUGAACUCACGUGCAUUUUCCAGGUGACAUUCCAAUUCACCGAGCCACGUGUCCUCUUUGCAGUGGUUACCAGUUCACUUUCAAUAUCGACAACCAAUGCCCAACGAUUUCUCAAUCAAAUAAAUAAAUCAACUCAACAAAACAUUAUAAAUGCUGAAUAAACAUACUUGGCCAUUCACCAAUCAAUACUCAAUCAAAUAAUUAAAUUAACUCAACAAAGCAUUAUAAAUGCUGAAUGAACAUACUUGGCCAUUCACCAAUCGAUAAUUCAAUCUCAAUCGAUUCCAAUCAAUUUAGGGUAAAUCCCUAAAAUAUCACAAUUUACUCAAUUCCAUACAACGUGGAGCUCAAAUAAAUAAACGGACUGCACCACGACGAUCAGCACGAGAUUUCGGUCGUCGGCCAUCAAAAUCUUAAUUUCCGAAAAAUAAUUAAUUUAUUUAUUAAUUUCGAAAAUUAAAUAAUUAUUAUUAAAAAUUCAAUUUAGCUCAAAAUAAAGCCCGGUUAACUAAACGGACUUCACCACGGUCAUCAGCACAAUAUUCCGGUCCCGGGCCAUCUCAGUUGAAUUUUCGGAAAAUAAAUAAUUAUUUAAUUUAAUUCCGAAAAUUAUUAUUUAAAUACUAAAAAAUCCACUUAGGCCCGAAAAGCCUAAUUGGAGCCCACUAAGGGUCGGGAAAAUUCCCGAGACACUUCCAAUAAUUAGUAGACCACGUCUACUUGUUAAUUACACAAUCAAUUUAUUUAAAUCGCAUCACAAUUGACUAAUAAUUGCUAAUUUAUUCUAAUCUAACAACCUAAACAUAAUUAAUUAAAUCUAAACCAACCUUAAGCAUAAUUAGCCAACUAAUCCAAGAUUAGUGAGAUUACUCACCAAAUCGCCCGCAAAUCGGAUCAAUCCG
RNAcentral lists this long non-coding RNA (1846 nucleotides) under Eucalyptus grandis. RNAcentral describes it as "long non-coding RNA (EGRA_LNC003110)". The record is from RNAcentral. Lineage: Eukaryota; Viridiplantae; Streptophyta; Magnoliopsida; Myrtales; Myrtaceae.